Molecule: ribosomal RNA, 720 nt
Filed under: Pseudomonas sp. ICBR 141
Lineage: Bacteria; Pseudomonadati; Pseudomonadota; Gammaproteobacteria; Pseudomonadales; Pseudomonadaceae
Also listed under: 1 other name
Description: bacterial SSU rRNA
Rfam family: Bacterial small subunit ribosomal RNA
Source: RNAcentral
CCGGCGGACACACAUGCAGUCGAGCGGAUGACGGGAGCUUGCUCCUUGAUUCAGCGGCGGACGGGUGAGUAAUGCCUAGGAAUCUGCCUGGUAGUGGGGGACAACGUUUCGAAAGGAACGCUAAUACCGCAUACGUCCUACGGGAGAAAGCAGGGGACCUUCGGGCCUUGCGCUAUCAGAUGAGCCUAGGUCGGAUUAGCUAGUUGGUGGGGUAAUGGCUCACCAAGGCGACGAUCCGUAACUGGUCUGAGAGGAUGAUCAGUCACACUGGAACUGAGACACGGUCCAGACUCCUACGGGAGGCAGCAGUGGGGAAUAUUGGACAAUGGGCGAAAGCCUGAUCCAGCCAUGCCGCGUGUGUGAAGAAGGUCUUCGGAUUGUAAAGCACUUUAAGUUGGGAGGAAGGGCAGUAAGYUAAUACCUUGCUGUUUUGACGUUACCGACAGAAUAAGCACCGGCUAACUCUGUGCCAGCAGCCGCGGUAAUACAGAGGGUGCAAGCGUUAAUCGGAAUUACUGGGCGUAAAAGCGCGCGUAGGUGGUUCGUUAAGUUGGAUGUGAAAGCCCCGGGCUCAACCUGGGAAACUGCUAUCCAAAACUGGCGAGCUAGAGUACGGUAGAGGGUGGUGGAAUUUCCUGUGUAGCGGUUGAAUGCGUACGAUAUAGGAAGGAACACAGUGGCGGAAGGCGACCACCUGGAACUGGAUUAACUGAACAAUUG